Molecule: long non-coding RNA, 6502 nt
Filed under: Linum usitatissimum (flax)
Lineage: Eukaryota; Viridiplantae; Streptophyta; Magnoliopsida; Malpighiales; Linaceae
Description: long non-coding RNA (LUSI_LNC003863)
Source: RNAcentral
UGCUAUGAAAGGACCUUGGGAUCGCUGUGAAUCAAGGGCACAAUGUAACACAUUCCGAUUGAUAUAAUUAACAAGAGGGGAAAAACAUAUCAAAAUAAUAACGUCCUAAAGACUAAGGAAUUGAGAUACUUUCCUGCCCCAAAAAACAAACUUGAACCCCUAGUAAAAAAAACAAAGGACUAAGAAACUUGGAAAGGAAGGAAGCAUCUUUCAAUAGAGAGAAACUACACGACUACUACUAAACUGACGCAUCAAAAUAUCAAAGAACCUUACAAGUUAAGCAUUGCUUGCUACGGUUGUCGAAGCAGCAGCAGCUGCAGCAUCGACAUUGCUACUCUCCUCGAACUUAUUAGCAAUAUUGGUCGCAGCCGAGUCCUCAAGGCUACACCUCAAAGGAGGCAUUGCGGGGAGAGCUUCUUCCCCUGCUGCUCCAUUUUUUCGAGAUAUGUCAAACCUGUGGCGACCGUCGUGAAAGUCUCGGGCAUGUUGCAUAACCGGUCUGAAAUCGCCGUUGUUGUUUCCCCGAAACGAAUCGAAUCUGUUGUUACCGUGCUGCUGCUGACGAUGGUGGUAAAUCCUGACAGGCGAUUUCCUUCCUCUCAAAUCGACAAAGCCACCACCGCUACGAUCAUCGAACAGCCUCAUGUGGCUAGGAGGAAACUGACGUCUCGGUGGAGAAGUGAACCGUUCACGGUCUUCAUAUCUAGCUGUGAAACGCUUCUGAAAAGGAAUUCUCACUCCUCUGUUUGGCCCAGGGGACCUACUGCGCAUCAAUGAGCCAUCAACAUCUUGUUGUUCCCUAUGCUGUAAGUAAUUUGGCGGCGAUCGUAUCCUUGACCUUGAAUACUGGGGGCGUCCGUGCAGUUGGGGGGAAAUACUUCGGUUAGAUUUCCUGAACUCUUCUUCCCUCAUGCUGCCCCUAUAGGUCUGAAAUCUUCGGAACUGAUUCCUUGCUUGUGGACUCAUCUCUCGCAGCGGACACAUUCUCGAAUUAGUGCCAUAAUAAUCCUCUCCUCUAAAACCAGGUAACCGCCUUCUCAUUGUGUGUUCACGGGAAUUUGCAAAUUGCCUACCGGCUCGAUUCUCAAAUCCAUGGGAAUCCAUCCGGUCAGAUGACAUCAUAUAUCUUCUUCCUUCAACAAAGCCUUUUGGCAUAGGACGAUCAAAAGUAUGUGCACCCCGAUUCGGCGAGUAAUGUCGGUCUAAGUUCCAGUUAGCAGUAGAACGACCAGGACUUCGGUAACGCACGUCAGCGAAAUGUCUGUUGUCCCUUCCAAAGUAUCGUUUGGAACGAACAUCGGAUUCAUCUCGUGGGAAAAACUUGCGGCAACUUUCUGACCUGGAAUAAGAACCGUUCCUCCACAUGGCGUCCGGUGGCCCAUCAAUAAAUGAUCCAGAGUCGUCCAUCUGAUUACCGCCUAUUGGAACAAAACCAGAGGGCAAACCUUUAUCACUGCUUUUCAAGCUCGCUGAAUCAUCUCUUGCAGCACCCAUUUCAGUACCCAUUUCGCCAUUACUAAGUUCAGUUUUUCUAGUGGUUUCACAAGAUCCCGGGCUUUACGCUCUUUCAGCCUCCACUUCCUUCACUUGCGUCAACCCGAGGACACCCUCAUCGCAUUCCGAGCCAUAGUCUACUUGCUCGACUUCCCCGUCCUCGCCUCCAUUUUUGUCCGAAUAGUAAGGUGCGUCAGCUUCUCUCAACUCUCCAUCCUCGAACUGAGAAUCAUAACCACCUAAAAGCUCUUCACCUCUCUCAGUGCUGUUCAUAUCCACCUUCUCCGUUUGAUAAACAUCAGAGCCAUAACUAUCAUCUGAACCAUCUCCCAUAGCCAAAACGUUUGCAGGUGUACCAUCAGAAGAAAGAGCUUUGCUUACCCCUCUAAUUGUAGGGUAAGCAAUCCUAUCAUCCGCAGAAAUCUUAGCAGGAUCCAAAUGAUCAAGAGAACAGAUGGCGCCAGCAAUCUUACAAGAAUCCUUCACGUCUGCAGCUGAACAGACAAAGCCCUUACUGUUCCUGUCAAGCUCUGAAGAGUUGUCAAAUCCAUUCUGUCUAUUGCUAGCUUCAUUAAUCGCAGUCAACGACUCUUUUGUAUCUGCAGAGACAGUGAAAGGCUCCUUGGCAUCUUCUAACACACUAUCCACAACGGAGUUCUGAGUUUUCUUACAUUCCACAUUUACCUUAGAAUUAUUCAGAAACUCCACCCUUUCCUCUGUUUCUGAAAGCAAACAAGUUGAUGCAUUUACAUGACUGCCCAUUGCACAGGAAUGACUAGAGUUUUCCCAGGCAUCUGCAGGAACAUUCAGGUCCCAGAGCGGUCUAGUAUCUUUUACAGAUCCAGAUCCCUCGCCAAAUCCAAUUUCUUUUUUUAUAUGAGAUUUCAGCAAAACAGCUCCGGUUUGCUCCAGCAAAGAUGAUCCCUGGCCCUUUCCUUCACCAGCAUUGUCUUUAGGAGAUGAGCCUAUUCUGUCUCUAGUUGAUAGGACAACUGACCACAAAUGACCAUUAUCAACUUCGCCAGUCACUACAGCUGCAAGUAUCUCCAAACCGGAGAAGUCUUCACUCUUCUGUUGAGUAUCAACCUUUGCAGAAUCUUCACCUGCCUUCGAUAGCUUCUCACUGUAAGAGCCAAGUUUAGAGGCUUCUUGAUGGGAUCUAGGUGAAGGCGAGGGAGAACAAAGCAUAACCCUACGUUUCUUCAACGGAAUAUCCGCUAUUUUGUCACUAAAACGUCGCCCAAGAAUGGCCACCCCAUGCUGGUAAGAGUAGUUUCGGUUAGUAUGUUUUGGAAAAAACUGUAACACUUCAAUCAUGUAGGCAAUACGUGAAAUGGCAGGAAACAAAAAAUUUACCUUCUCUGUAUCUGAAGCUGUUCCCUCUUCCACCUUCAUUGAUCCUUGCACUGAUAGCUUCUCCCCAGCAACAAAAUUUCUGAGAGCAUGCCUCCUAGCCCGCCUUGAAGAACUCCUAUAUCCUUUAGCUAUAGACUUCCAAGUUAACUCGGGAUUAAUAAAAUUCUCGAGUUCCAAACCCACUUUACGCAUCCCGCCUACAGACCCUAUAAUUUUUUUCCCGGUCAUAGACGAUUUGCUACUGGAAGGCUUGCUUGACACAAUCGCUCCUUGCUUUGUACUUGACAUGAGUGGAGAUGGCUUAGCCACGGUGCAAGUCGAGAACCUAAUCUACAAGAAACAAGAGGAACUUCCGUUAAUGAGAGAGUAACACCAUCCACAAAUUUCAUCAUCUAGGAGUGAAAGAGGCUUCAUCUCUUCCUCUUAGAGGCACAUGCCUUAAACAGAGAUAGGGUUUAAACAAAAAUCACCAUAGCAAUCACAAACGAAAAUUACGCAAUAAGUACAACAACAGUUGAGCAAGAGCAAUGAGGAUUAAUGCGCAAAACCCAAUCAACCAAACUUCACAUCAAGUAGAUCUUAAUUUCGAUAUCUGGGUGCAAGAUAAGGCAUCACAGAUGACGUCAAACAAGCAAAUUACGAUGUAACAUCUGCAAGCACCGUUCAAUAGAAUCCACAUCCACCCAUUCAUAGGUGACAUCAUGCAAUGAACAAUCAUCGUUUACAAGCUACUGUGCUGAUCCGCAAUCAAUUUAUCCCGGAAACUGGAGAUCAUGAAAACAGCCCAACAAGGCUCUUGUACUACUUCAAAGCCUAGAGUAGGUCACAACAGACAAAUAUAUCCAUCGACUGCUCCAACGAACAAGGGUUUCGUGCAUCUCAUCCAAAUCGACAGGCCUCGUUUCAAAUCACGCAGACAACAGCAGAUCCAGAAGUUCAGAUGAGCAGGAAGGCCGAUUCACUUGUGUUUGAGCGCCCCCAGCAUCCAAACAACAAGAAGCGCCACAAAAAUUCGAGGAAACGAGGAGAUGGAGCCAGGGAAGCAAAAUCGAAGGAGAUCUUUGAAACACCACACGAAACAAAGCGUAGAAAAUAACAUAAACUAGGGUUUCCAAUUACCUGUAUCGUUCUCCUUCCUGAUUGAACUAUAUAUAAAUCUAUCGCCCCCAGUCGAUAACUCCAAAGCCCCGGAAUCAAUAUCCUCGAGAUGACAGAAAAACAACAGAGACCCGUUCCUGUCUUCUUCUCCUACUAUCCCCAAGCUCCUACGAUCAAAGCACGUCGUCAAUAAUGCAGAUGUAGAGACUCGUCCGACUCGCCAGCUUCCGUUGAACGCUCGCCGGAGCACUGAAGGCGACGUCGACGAUCUGUGCUGAUUCUCGCUCGCUCCCUCUCUCUCUGGUUCUCAAAACCGGUCAGCUUCGUCGGACUAACAGCUGUGUCUGGAUCAGCGCCACGAAAGCCCUAUCACCUCAUAUAUAUUGUAAAUAAUAAUGCUGAACAAUUACCCGCGAAUGUUAGCGUUAUUUACCGAGGACUGCCAUUCCAUAGGGCCUGGCUUCUCUAGUUUUCCUUUUCGGUAUAAGAAACGAAUUUCAGAAAACCAAAACAAAUUCGGAUUGUGGUUUGGUUUGGGCAGUAAAGUCAACGGUCAAACAAGGUAAGAACCUUUGGGGUCUUAAUCAUCGUAUGGAUUGGGGUCGUUCAUAUCUGGUUAGUACUAAAAUACCAAUUUAUUUUAAUUAAACUCGGUUCAAUACAUCUACUUAACCGAUUCAGUAAAAUAGGUCGCUACUAUACGAUUAUAAAUGUGUCAUUAAGAUUGUGUCACCUAUUUAUAUCAUAUUAAGUAUUUUAUUUUAUUUUACUUCUUUAAAACAAGAUAACACCCUCCCGUAAAUAUUAACACAUACCUAAUGAACUUUGAAGUUCAUUUCAAUUUAUUUCGAUGGCGAACGCCACCUCACUAAUAGAUAUUUGGCAUCAUCAUCAAUUUUCAUUCCUAAUUAUAUGAAUGCAGGUAGUAAAAAAUGUUUGAUGAAUAAUAUAAAAGUCAUAUGUUUUCGAGAUUUUCUUCUCAGCAUGCCAUCUCGACAUCUUGUUCUCCUUCCUCCACGUUGGCGCGACCUACUCUCUCAUGAUCCUCUUGGGGAUCUUCCUCUUGGCUUGACCAUGGCUAAUGGUUUUUUACACAAUCGGACCAGUUUGGUAACUGGUUCACUGUUUUCAUGGUCUGACCGUUCAGAAGCCUAGUAUGUUUCUAACAACACUUGUGUCUAUUGAGUAACCAUGUUGGCAAGUCAAAUUGCUCGAGAGUGUUGGUAAACUUUUUUACUCAGAAGAAAGUCCUUGAGAACGUCUUGAUAUUAUACGAGCCAAGUUUGAGAGAAGCUUGCUUGAUUCAAUUGGCGCCUGGUCUCGGAAGUUAUACCAACAAAUCUCGGACUCUUCACGUUAUCAACUCGAAAUCUCGGUCCAAUUGCGUCCGAUUUUCUCAAGUACAUGGUUGAUUACAUACAUAUUGUAUGUGUAUGUACACGAGUAGUCAUUAAUAUGGACGUGUAUAUAACAAGUAAUUUGAGCUCAUAUCGGAUUCUUUCACCUCAGGAUCGGAACCCACCCACCAUGUCCGAAACGAACUAGGGUCAGGUGUAGUCAAAUUAGACGGUCGGAUGCAAAUUGUCAUUCCUGCCCCAAAAAACUUGGAACCCUAGACAAAAAAACAAAGGACUAAGAAACUUGUAAAGGAAGGAAGCAUCUUUCAAUAGAGAAAGUAAGCGACAACUAGACUGAUGUAUCAAAAUAUUAAAGAACCAUAGAAGUUAAGCAUUGCUUGCUACCGCAUCGACAUUGCUACUCUCGUCGAUAACUUGUUAGCAGCAUAAUUGGUCGCGAGCCAAACCUCAAGCGCCUUACGGGGGAGCUUCCUCCCCUGCUGCUGCUGCUGCUGCAUUGUUUCGAGACAUCUCAAACCUGUGGCGAGCGUCGCGAAAGUCUCCAGGCUGUUGUUGCAUAACCGGUCUGAAUUCGUCGCUGUUGUUUCCCCGAAUUGAAUCGAAUCUGUUGUUACCCUGCUGCGGCUGACGUUGGUGGUACAUCCUGACAGGCGAUUUCCUUGCUCUAAAAUCGACAAAGCCACCACCACUACGAUCAUCAAACGGCCUCAUGUGGUUAGGUUGAAAUUGACGUCUCGGUUGGUCACGGUCUUCGUAUCUAGCUGUGAAACGCUUCUGAAAAGGAAUUCUCACUCCUCUGUUCGACCCAGGGGACCUACUGCGCAUCAGCGAACCAUCAACAUCCCGUUGUUCCCUUUGCUGUAAGUAAUUUGGUGGCGAUCGUAUCCUUGACCUUGAUCUCGACCUUGAAUACGGGGGGCGUCCGUGCGGUUGCGGGGAAAUACUUCUAUCUCUUUUGGAUAAACCGUUGUAGCCAACUUCUGGGAAGGAAUUCCUAAACUCUUCUUCCCUGAUGCUGCCCCUAAAUCUCCGAAACUGAUUUCUUUCUUGUGGAGACAUCUCUCGCUGCGGAAACAUCCUCGAAUUCAGGCCAUAGGAAUCCUUGCCUGUAAAACCAGGUGACCGCCUUCUCAUUAUGUGUUCACGGGAGUUUGCAAAUUGCCUACCGACUCGAUUCUCAAAUCCAGGGGAAAUAC